Molecule: long non-coding RNA, 5086 nt
Organism: Bombus terrestris (buff-tailed bumblebee)
Lineage: Eukaryota; Metazoa; Arthropoda; Insecta; Hymenoptera; Apidae
Exons: 3
Source: RefSeq, a predicted model, not a curated record
AAAUUUUCCGGACAACCUAAUACAAUUGAAACAGCGAAUAUAAUAUAGUACAAGUGAAAAUAUCGUAAAAUGCAAGACACAGAAUGAAAUUUAUACCAACCUUUGUCUCAACAUUCUCUAAAAGUUGAUAUUACAAACAGAAGACAUUGUACCACUAUUGAGAUAUGUAUAAUUGCAUGUGCUGGACUAGGUUAACUGCGUAGUAGUAAUACUUGCAUGUGAAUAUCAGUAUGUGGAAGUAUAUGUGUGCAUCUCGAAAACAAAUGAAUGUAAACAGUACAGUCGGUUAACAGUCGGAUAUGGAAAUAAGUGAUGAGACGCGUGCAAGUGUGUAUCGAUGAAUAUCUUUGAAAUCGUUUAUCAAAUAAAUAUAUAACUAUUAUAAUAUAAAUUCUAAGUGUAAAUUUAGUAUUCCUAUAGCAUUAUUUCGACUAUUAAGAUCCAAAAUUCUCAACAAAUAUAAAACAAAAAUUGUUGUCCAUUUAUUAUCACCUUAUGAAAGGAAAGAGAAACUUUCCGGACAAUCUAAUACAAUUGAAACAGUGAAUAUAACGUAAUACAGGUAAAAAUAUCGUAAAAUGCAAGGAUACAGAAUGAAAUUGUUUCAACAUUCUCUAAAAGUUGAUAUUACAAACAGAAGACAUUGUGUCACAAUGCAAGGAAACAGAAACCUUACAACACAGAAAAUGAAAAUUAUAUUAAUUUCUAUUUCAAUAUUUAUGUUUCAAACACAUUAUGUCGAAUGAAUGAUUACUUAUUAAGCCUUAGGGAUCAUACCUAAUUCGAUAAAAUAAUAAUAUUGAGAUAUGUAUAAUUUUAUGUCCUGGACUAGGUUACAUGCGUAGGAGAUACUUGUAUGUAAAUAUCAGUGUGUGGAAAUAUGUGUGUGCGUGGCGUCUCGAAAAUAAACGAAUGUGAACAGUACAGUCGGCUAACAGUCGAAUAUGGAAGAAAGUGCUGAGACACGUGCAAGUAUGUAUCGAUGAAUAUCUUUGAAAUCGUCCAUCAAAUAACUGUAUAAUUAUUCUAAUAUUAAUUCCAAGUGUAAAUUUAGCGUUCCUAUACCAUUAUUUCGGCUAUCAAGAUCCACAAUUCUCAACAUGAACGUCACGUGUCCCAUGUGGAUAAACUUAUCUAAAUAGAAAGCGAGAUAAAGUAAAAGUUUAUAGGAAGUUGGAAAAAUGACAGUAAAGUACGGUUUUGGUGAAUGCAGUAGGCGUGCAAUUUCGAAGUCAGACAACGUUUGCUUCAGAAACUGCAAUCACUUUCCCGAGUCCUCAGCUGUCCACUUAUCUCAACAGGAAGUGCUGGCUGCAACCGCACUACCUUCAACUGCAACCUUGUUACGUCUCAUCAUAAAUCUUCCAAUCUACUCAAAAACUCCAGGAAGUCUUGUCCAAUACUCCAACGGAGUAUUAUUCCAACUUCUCCGAUUCAUUCGUCAAAUAUUUUUCAGAAAUUCAACUGAGAGCUUUGAACUUCACAUUUCGACGCAUAAUUAAACGUUUCUUUUCGUAGGCUCGAAAUUUCGACGUAAAUUGCUGUCGUUCUUUCAAAUUUUCAAUUUUACAUUAAACCGAGGAUUUUAAGUUAUUCGAUCGUCGCGCUGCAAUCUUCAAAAAGUAGCAUUUUCCAAUGGCGUCAGCUUGCGAUAAGAAAAGUCGAUCGACGCUUGGACGAGUCCAAGAAAAUGCAUUUUCUCGUGAACCCAAAGUUGCAAUCGACUUAAAUAGUGCAACGUUGAUGGUUCCCAGCGAAUCAUUUGUUAGGUUGAUCGCAGCAAUGUUGCGCAACCGAAGUGUGUGGUCAGAAACCCGUUAAAUCUUAGCUGCGGGGGUGGUGGGGGGCGGGACAAGGCGCGAAUUUCACGUUGUUUGUCCCCGUACUUUGCCAAACGAGCGAUUCACUGACCACCCACUGUACACCGUACAUCGUACAGCUUGUAGAUCGCGCGAUUGCCAGGCGGAUGCGAGGCGAAAUGACCGACGCAUACGGAUCAUUUGUCUUGGCGCAACGAAUGUGGAACGUGGCGUGUAGGUGGCAUAACGCCGCCUGAAAAUAGGGUCACGAAUCGUAAGGAGGAUCUGAUAACCGGCCCGGAAGGUAUUUCGCGUUCGUACAGUGUCGCUGUCUGUUCCCACCCCCAAAGAGACCAGGGACACAUUGGAUGAGUAGAAGGAAAUUGCAACGAAGAUCGUCCCUUGAUUUUUAAUGUCACAUAGGAACAAGGUAGAUGACCCAAUGUGGACAAUAUAUGCAGCCUCUUCGAUGUAAGGACAAAUAAUUGCCAAGUAAUUUGAGGGAGAUAGUCCGUUAAAGACCCAGUUCAGGACAAUCAACCGGUCAGCCUAUUUACCUUAAUUCACGCCCAACACAAUCUAUAUCCGAGAGUGGCUUGUAAGGGUAUUCAAGACCGGAAGAGAACGUAGGUCGCUCGGUGGAUAGCGGAUCAGUGUAUAGAUCUUGCAAUUAGCUGCUCUUGUGUGCUUCCUUCCUCCUCGAGAACCUUGCUGGUAACCGUGUCGCUUGCUGAUUCCCUUUGCUUUUUACUCCAAAACUAGGGAAUCUAGUCCGAAAUUCGUUAUGGAUCUAUCGUACACCGUGUUCGAAUUAAUCUUAGUUGGAUUGAAGAUGUUUUACAGAUCGAUGCAAUAAUGACACGUAUUGUUUUAGGAUGUGGACUGAAACAUUGCAACAAACAAUUUUCAGGAACACGAAAUCCUCCACCGUUCCUAAUUUCAUUAUGCAAUAUUUCUAUCGACCAUUGAAGACUGCAGAACAAUAUAUUCAGAAUUAUCAAACAUUUUCUGAAUUUCAGUUCUGAGAAGAGUUUAACACAAUGAGAGCUUUCUCAUAUUGCUGACAUGUUUCUUAACGUUCAUAAAAUACUCGAAAAUAAUGAAACGAACGCAGCAUAGUUGAAAACAGGAAAGAAAUAUACCGUAAAUACCAUUUGCCUAAGGAACGCCUACUUUCGCCCAAAUGGUAAAAAAUUCCGGAGCAUCGGGUCAUUCGCAAUGACAACGUGGCGUAUAACAUCUCAUCGCGGACAGGCGAUGCGAUUAUUCCAGAAAACAUGAAACGAAAGCAGCAACGAGCCAUGUCUGACUUUCGAUCCUGGGUGGUAGCAGGUUAUCUCGGCUGUUGGCUGGGCUGCUGGUUGCAUGGGCGGAGGCAGGGUCGUGCAGGCGGCCCCUCAUUCGCUUUCCGGGUGCCACCCUUCUUUUCGAGGCUGCUGCGGCAUAUCCCCAGUCCAUGCUGCGGCAACCACGCACGUGUUCGCGCAUGCGCAACAGCCACGAUGUUGCACGCAUGGGCGCGUACGCAUAUAGGAGAAACGGCACCCGUUGGAGAACCCCUUUCGCGCCCAGGCUACCCAACAGAAUGUCCCCUCGAUGCUUGUAAACUGUGCUGCCAGCAUAAUACUGCGUUAUGUAUAUGUCGAAUGUCCCCACAUAAGAAAUCGAUAUCUCCGCUAUGGAGAACUGGCACCAAAUUUGGUGACAGAAUUUGAUAUUUAAAAUGGACGUAGGAAAUUGAAUGACCAAGGAAUGGCAACCACUGCUGUUUGGACGUAUUUCAAUGUUCUUCCUUUGUGCGAACGUUGGAAAUUAAAGAAUUUAUUUAACAAGGAUCGUUACUUAAAAAACGACUAAGUUUCUUCGCGAUAACGUUGGAAAUUAGAUAAUUUGGGAAGAGCAGUCGUCACCACUUGGCCAUUUUUCCUUGCUGUUAUUGCUUUCACUGAAGUGUUCGUCAAAUAUUUCUAAAAAUGUGCCAGUCAUCGUUAUGCCUUAUUUAAUAAACUCGUGGAAUCUCAAAUUGACUGAUGUAGAGUUCCAACGAACCCCUAUAGCGCUGGAAGAGCCAUUUCCCGUGGUUGAUGGUAAAUUGGGGUACACAGCGUGAAACGAUUGCCUCGUAACAAAUUGACGUUCCGUUUGUGCAGAAGAUAACGAACAAUUGAACUUUUUGGCGGCAUUAAGUCGUCCGAGGGUUCGCUAUCAAAGGCGUUCGUCGGUUUUAUCAGGAUGAUUCAUACGUGGCAUUAUCUCGUUAUUUUUCUCGCGCGUUUUCCACCGAUCGGUGUAUUCCUUUUUCGAAGGGAAAUGAUUUAUUAUGCGGGCCUCUCCAUGAAACCGGUAAAUAUAUGCACGCAACUUUGCAUACGUAAUAUGGAUGAGAUACUGUCAACGCCGUCAACUAACAAGUUUACCUCGACUCGGCUGGCUAUCGUUUGUUUCCUGCUUCAAAUGAUGUAUCGCGCGAAAAACCGAUAAGAAUGCGCCACAUAAUAAAUCUAUAAUAACCGAAAUGUUCAUUUUUCACGUUGGCGAUAACGACGAAUAGGAGAGCAGAGGGGAGGGGGGGGGGCAAAUGUGCGCAACUUAAGUGCGUAGAAGCAACGAAACCGAUGAUAAUAGUUGGUUAAAAACCAGUUAGGUUAUGUGCGAUACGAUAACGAGUUGACAUUAAUAGAAUCACUGAAUUCUUAAGAAAAUAAAAAGAAAAAAAGAAUACGAAAUUCUUUCGAUGCAAGUUUACGUGCAAGGAUGUCGAUUUUUUCUUCUCUGUUUUUUCUUUUUUUUUUUUAGGAAACACUACGUUAUUGUAAAUUACGAAACAUUUAUUUAUUGAUUCAAUUUACUUCACGAUUGUAUCUUAAUCGAUCACUACGAUCAAUAUAAACAUAAUCAUCGAAGUGUGCCGAUUCUUAUCGUACAGGCUAUAUACAUUAUCGGUAGAAUGUCAAGGAAUAUAAUGUCACACUUAAUAGAACGUUCUUGUAAACUCGUGCACUUGCUUAGAACUGGCUAAUUACACUAUGACCGCCUUUCAUCCUCGUCCAUUCCGAAUAGAACGUGUUUAAUGUUUCUUAAUAUCUCUAUAUUCUUAUAUUUAAUCAGAUAAACAUCGUUUUGGUAUAUCGUCACAGCGACUCUGUGCAUUUAAAUCAACGUUUCAUUGCUAUUCUCUCUCUCUCUCGCUCGCUCUCUUUCUCUCGCUCUCGCAAUACAUCGAUUCGUUUGGCGCCACUUGCUACAUCCUUUUGUAAUCUAAAUCCUUGUUAUUGGUCGUCGGUAUA